RNAcentral lists this ribosomal RNA (1026 nucleotides) under Nosema sp. NIK-5d. Its description in RNAcentral is "partial 16S small subunit ribosomal RNA". It matches the Rfam family "Microsporidia small subunit ribosomal RNA". Lineage: Eukaryota; Fungi; Microsporidia; Nosematidae. The record is from RNAcentral.
GAGUGCCUUCCUAGUCAAUCAUGCAGAAUAUGAAAUUUCCCAGACGAACAGCUCAGUAACUCUUAUUUGAUUUGAUGUAUUAGGAUUCUAACUAUGUUAAAUUAUAGGUAACAAUAAUACAAUAAGAAUAAGAUCUAUCAGUUAGUUGUUAAGGUAAUGGCUUAACAAGACUAUGACGGAUAACGGUAUUACUUUGUAAUAUUCCGGAGAAGGAGCCUGAGAGAUUGCUACUAAGUCUAAGGAUUGCAGCAGGGGCGAAACUUGGACCUAUGAUAUUAUAUUGAGGCAGUUAUGAGUAGUAUUUUAUAAUUAUUGUAGUAUUGUAAGUACAUAUUACAAGAUAAAUCGGACGGCAAAUCGAGUGCCAGCAGCCGCGGUAAUCUUGUUCCGAUAGUGUGUAUGAUGAUUGAUGCAGUUAAAAAAGUCUGUAGUUUUAUUUAUUAUAAACCAUUGUAAAGGGAUCCUGUUCUUAGCAGUAAAACUUAUGUUGAGUCCAUAGAUAUAUUUUGAUAUAUAUUUAAUGUAGAGAAAUUAAGAUUAUAUUGACUCUGGGGAUAGUAUGAUCGCAAGAUGAAAAUUAAAGAAAUUGACGGAAGAAUACCACAAGGAGUGGAUUGUGCGGCUUAAUUUGACUCCAACGCGGGGUAAUUUACCCAGGUAUAACAUGGUAUAAUAUUUUAUCAUGAUAGUGGUGCAUGGCCGUUUCCCAAUGGAUGCUGUGAAGUAAUGAUUAAUUUCAACAAGAUGUGAGACCCUCAUUUAGACAGAUGUAGUGAUACAUAUGAAGGAGAGGAUUAAAACAGGUCCGUUAUGCCCUAAGAUAAUCUGGGUUGCACGCGCAAUACAAUAAUAUUUGAUAUUAUAAGGGAUAAUAUAAUGUAAGAUAUAUUUGAACAUGGAAUUGCUAGUAAAUUUUAUUUAAUAAGUAGAAUUGAAUGAGUCCCUGUUCUUUGUACACACCGCCCGUCGCUAUCUAAGAUGGGGAACUAUGAACUACUUUUAAAGAAGAGCAGACUAGUCGAAUAC